GAAACAAGUUCUCUUCGGAGAAUUGUUGGAGUGCUUUGGCUUUUUUCUUCCCCUCUCUCCUAACGGAAGAAGGGAGUGGUGUUCCCCGCUGCUUACACCAAGUGAGAGAGGUACUUUAAGGAAACUACUUGAAGAGCUUUACAUGCGCCUUCUUGAGUUUGAAGAGUAUGAGAACUGAUCCUUUCAUUCAGGAGGCAUCUCCCUGGAGACUGAGUAGAUGGUAGGAGUCCCCUGGGGUGCUGUCAGCUCCACUCGCUGAACCUCUGGAGAAAGGCCAAAAUACUAGAUGGAUCCCUGUGGAAUGACAGUUGUCAUUGCAGGCAGGCUCGGUUUGCCGGUUGCUGCUGAGUGCUGCCUUUCGUGCUUACGGACUGUCAGAAAAGGAAACAGGGAAACAGCCUCCAGACAACAGCUACUCAAUUCUCAGUUCGCAGGAAUUGUAAAUCACUCGUGGAGAUUCUCUCAGCACAUCUGGAAUCACACGACAGCUGUCUGAACUGCUCAUGGAUAAUGCUAAUCCAGAACCACAGGUGCUGCAAUGGAGGGCGUCAUGGGUGUGCCUUUGAGACCAACUAUCUGGUUAUUCGUCCUUCUCUCCUUGGUAGCCAGUUCUCUGCACACAGCUGCAUCACUGACGAAGGCUGGCAUGGCUCUGAUUUGCUUCAGGAUUUCUGACCUUUCUUAGGACAGCGGCCACUAGCCACAUGUGACUGCUGCGCACUUGAACUCCAGCCGGUUCCCACUGAGGGCUGCUGCAAGUGUGAAACACACGGUGGAUUUUG
RNAcentral lists this long non-coding RNA (782 nucleotides) under Equus caballus (horse). RNAcentral describes it as "lncRNA (ENSECAG00000038353.2)". The record is from RNAcentral. Lineage: Eukaryota; Metazoa; Chordata; Mammalia; Perissodactyla; Equidae.